GCGCCUUUAGCUCAGUUGGUUAGAGCAUCUCGUUUACACCGAGAGGGUCGGGGGUUCGAGUCCCUCAGGGCGCA
This 74-nucleotide transfer RNA is filed under the name Gulosibacter molinativorax. RNAcentral describes it as "tRNA-Val". It matches the Rfam family "tRNA". From Rfam's summary of the family: Transfer RNA (tRNA) molecules are approximately 80 nucleotides in length. Their secondary structure includes four short double-helical elements and three loops (D, anti-codon, and T loops). Lineage: Bacteria; Bacillati; Actinomycetota; Actinomycetes; Micrococcales; Microbacteriaceae. The record is from RNAcentral.